This 825-nucleotide ribosomal RNA is filed under the name uncultured Dictyocoela. Its description in RNAcentral is "SSU rRNA". It matches the Rfam family "Microsporidia small subunit ribosomal RNA", at positions 71 to 855 of the family's 1311-position model. Lineage: Eukaryota; Fungi; Microsporidia. The record is from RNAcentral.
GUGGAGCGGUAUACGGCUCAGUAACGGGCGAUUUAUUUGUUCUCCUGGGACGGACAACAUCGGGAAACUGAUGGGAAAACGUCUAAGUUGCAGUUAAUUGACUGUGACGUAAACCUUUGUGUGCAGGAGAGUAAGAUGCCAUCCUAUCAGUUAGUAAGUAGGGUAAGGGCCUACUUAGACGAAGACGGGUACGGGGAAUGAGGGUUUGAUUCCGGAGAGGGAGCCUGAGAGAUGGCUACCAGGACCAAGGUCAGCAGCAGGCGCGAAAAUUAUCGAAGCCCGCCUAGGGGCGAUAGUGAGGAGACGUGUAUAACGAAGUACGUGUAAAGAACGUGCUAAUAACUGGAGGUCAAGUCUGGUGCCAGCAUCCGCGGUAAUUCCAGCUCCAGGGGUGUCUAUGAUGAUUGCUGCGAUUAAAAAGUCCGUAGUCAAUCUGACUGACUGACCUGCAAUGUGAUUGAUUAAAGAACGAGCAGGGUUAGGAAAGCAGAGAAUUAGGAGCGACCGAGGGCUAGAGUAUUGAAUGGCGAGAGGUGAAAUUUGAUGACCCAUUCAGGAGUGACAAAGGCGAAGGCACUAGUCAAGGGCGAAUCCGAUGAUCAAGGACGUAGGCUAGAGUUUCGAAAACGAUUAGAGACCGGAGUAGUUCUAGCAGUAAACUAUGCCGACGCCGUGGUAUCAAUAAUGGUAUUGCGGAAGAGAAAUCAAGUAAGGCUUUGGGGAGAGUACGCGCGCAAGCGAUAAAUUUAAAGGAAAUUGACGGAGGAACACCACAAGGAGUGGAGUGUGCGGCUUAAUUUGACUCAACGCGGGACAGCUUACCAA